Molecule: ribosomal RNA, 378 nt
Filed under: uncultured bacterium
Lineage: Bacteria
Description: bacterial SSU rRNA
Rfam family: Bacterial small subunit ribosomal RNA
Source: RNAcentral
ACACGUAGGGGGCAAGCGUUGUCCGGAUUUAUUGGGCGUAAAGAGCUCGUAGGCGGCUGAGUAAGUCGGGUGUUAAAUCCCCAGGCUCAACCUGGGACACCACCCGAUACUGCUCUGGCUAGAGUCCGGUAGGGGAGCGUGGAAUUCCUGGUGUAGCGGUGAAAUGCGCAGAUAUCAGGAGGAACACCAGCGGCGAAGGCGGCGCUCUGGGCCGGAACUGACGCUGAGGAGCGAAAGCGUGGGUAGCAAACAGGAUUAGAUACCCUGGUAGUCCACGCCGUAAACGUUGGGCACUAGGUGUGGGGUCUAUUCAACGGACUCCGUGCCGUCGCUAACGCAUUAAGUGCCCCGCCUGGGGAGUACGGCCGCAAGGCUAAA